GAUGAACGCUAGCUACAGGCUUAACACAUGCAAGUCGAGGGGCAGCAUUUCAGUUUGCUUGCAAACUGGAGAUGGCGACCGGCGCACGGGUGAGUAACACGUAUCCAACCUGCCGAUAACUCGGGGAUAGCCUUUCGAAAGAAAGAUUAAUACCCGAUAGUAUAAUGAAACCGCAUGGUCUUAUUAUUAAAGAAUUUCGGUUAUCGAUGGGGAUGCGUUCCAUUAGGCAGUUGGCGGGGUAACGGCCCACCAAACCUACGAUGGAUAGGGGUUCUGAGAGGAAGGUCCCCCACAUUGGAACUGAGACACGGUCCAA
This 316-nucleotide ribosomal RNA is filed under the name uncultured bacterium. RNAcentral's name for it is "bacterial SSU rRNA". It matches the Rfam family "Bacterial small subunit ribosomal RNA", at positions 28 to 334 of the family's 1533-position model. The record is from RNAcentral.